RNAcentral lists this ribosomal RNA (424 nucleotides) under uncultured bacterium. RNAcentral's name for it is "bacterial SSU rRNA". It matches the Rfam family "Bacterial small subunit ribosomal RNA", at positions 355 to 776 of the family's 1533-position model. The record is from RNAcentral.
UGAGGAAUAUUGGUCAAUGGGCGGAAGCCUGAACCAGCCAUGCCGCGUGAAGGAAGAAGGUCCUAUGGAUUUUAAACUUCUUUUGUCGGAGAGCAAUAAGGGUCUCGUGAGAUCCGAUGAGAGUAUCCGACGAAUAAGCAUCGGCUAACUCCGUGCCAGCAGCCGCGGUAAUACGGGGGAUGCGAGCGUUAUCCGGAUUUAUUGGGUUUAAAGGGUGCGUAGGCGGUCCGGUAAGUCAGCCGUGAAAAGCCCCCGCUCAACGGGGGUCGUGCGUUUGAUACUGUUGGACUGGAAUGCGGAUGCCGUGGGAGGAAUGUGUGGUGUAGCGGUGAAAUGCAUAGAUAUCACACAGAACACCGAUUGCGAAGGCAUCUCACGAAUCCGCAAUUGACGCUGAGGCACGAAAGCGCGGGUAUCGAACAGG